This is a long non-coding RNA of Helicoverpa zea (corn earworm), 353 nucleotides long. RefSeq lists it as uncharacterized. The transcript is spliced from 3 exons. The record is from RefSeq and is a predicted model, not a curated record. NCBI's taxonomy places the organism in Eukaryota, Metazoa, Arthropoda, Insecta, Lepidoptera, Noctuidae.
GAGAGGUCGUCUCACCCUUCGUCGGCUCAGGUUGAAACUCUGGUUGAGUUUAUGGAGCAAAACCCUGGCCUGGCGAAUGGUUUCGUGAGAACGCAAAAUGCCAGAGAGCGAAGUCGAAGCCAGUGGGAGGAAUUAGCCGUGCGCUUAAAUAGUAUAAGGUGGCACCAUCAAAACCUACAAACAGUGGACCAAGGAAAAUGAUACGCCGUCUCCAUCACCCGAAGCACAACCUAUAUACAAUACUAAUGAUGACAACAUUAAUGUACCACAACAACAGCAGAGUCAGGCACGGCCUACUGAGGAAUCAGCAGCUAUUGUAUUUUAUGUAAGCUAUUUUGUACUAAAUAUGUCUG